This 176-nucleotide long non-coding RNA is filed under the name Chinchilla lanigera (long-tailed chinchilla). Its description in RNAcentral is "lncRNA (ENSCLAG00000025797.1)". The record is from RNAcentral. Lineage: Eukaryota; Metazoa; Chordata; Mammalia; Rodentia; Chinchillidae.
AUCUGUCACCGUGUUUAGGACAGGCUCUUCAGAAUGCGCUGGGCCAAACGUGGGAGCCUAAGGAGAAAGAGUUAUCUAAAACAGUUGCUAUUUCAGUCUAGAACUUGAAGUUAAAAAUGUUCGAGCGGAAAAAAAAAAGUUUAAAAAUAUAGAUGUGUAUUUUUUUAAAACCCCAU